Molecule: ribosomal RNA, 466 nt
Filed under: uncultured Sphingobacteriales bacterium
Lineage: Bacteria; Pseudomonadati; Bacteroidota; Sphingobacteriia; Sphingobacteriales
Description: bacterial SSU rRNA
Rfam family: Bacterial small subunit ribosomal RNA
Source: RNAcentral
CCCGCACAAGCAGCGGAGCAUGUGGUUUAAUUCGAAGCAACGCGAAGAACCUUACCAGAUCUUAACAUCCAAUUGACCAUCUUUUAAUCGAGAUUUUUGCCUUCGGGUACAAUUGAGACAGGUGGUGCAUGGUUGUCGUCAGCUCGUGUCGUGAGAUGUUGGGUUAAGUCCCGCAACGAGCGCAACCCCUAUCAUUAGUUGCCAUCAGGUCAAGCUGGGGACUCUAAUGAAACUGCCUACGCAAGUAGUGAGGAAGGUGGGGAUGACGUCAAAUCAGCACGGCCCUUACGUCCAGGGCUACACACGUGCUACAAUGGCCGGUACAAAGGGCAGCUACCUGGUGACAGGAUGCUAAUCUCAAAAGCCGGUCUCAGUUCGGAUCGGAGUCUGCAACCCGACUCCGUGAAGCUGGAUUCGCUAGUAAUCGCGCAUCAGCCACGGCGCGGUGAAUACGUUCCCGGGCCUU